RNAcentral lists this ribosomal RNA (478 nucleotides) under uncultured bacterium. Its description in RNAcentral is "partial 16S ribosomal RNA". It matches the Rfam family "Bacterial small subunit ribosomal RNA", at positions 28 to 523 of the family's 1533-position model. The record is from RNAcentral.
GACGAACGCUGGCGGCGUGCUUAACACAUGCAAGUCGAACGGUAAGGCCCUUCGGGGUACACGAGUGGCGAACGGGUGAGUAACACGUGGGUGAUCUGCCCUGCACUUUGGGAUAAGCCUGGGAAACUGGGUCUAAUACCGGAUUGGACCACGCGCUUCACGGUGUGUGGUGGAAAGCUUUUGCGGUGUGGGAUGGACCCGCGGCCUAUCAGCUUGUUGGUGGGGUAAUGGCCUACCAAGGCGACGACGGGUAGCCGGCCUGAGAGGGUGACCGGCCACACUGGGACUGAGAUACGGCCCAGACUCCUACGGGAGGCAGCAGUGGGGAAUAUUGCACAAUGGGCGCAAGCCUGAUGCAGCGACGCCGCGUGAGGGAUGACGGCCUUCGGGUUGUAAACCUCUUUCAGUAGGGACGAAGCGCAAGUGACGGUACCUACAGAAGAAGGACCGGCCAACUACGUGCCAGCCGCCGCCGUAA